This is a long non-coding RNA of Equus caballus (horse), 4444 nucleotides long. Lineage: Eukaryota; Metazoa; Chordata; Mammalia; Perissodactyla; Equidae. The record is from Ensembl.
UUUAAAUAUUAUUUUAUUUCAGCAUUUAAUGAAGCAGCUAAUGAUAGAGAAUAAGAAAUCUUAAGGCAUAUGAAUUUAAAUGUUGGCUAUAAAACAAGAGAAAAUAUUUAGGCAUAAAAAAACCAUGAGGGUAAAUUUCUUAUUCUUCUCUUUGAGCUUUAAAAUGUAAGGCAGUUUGAAUACCAUUUCUUGGGGUUUUAGGGGACCCCAAUAAAACCACCUCUUUUAUAAGGAUAGACUAAGAGAUCAGCUAGAUGGACAGCAAAAUGCAGCUUCAUUACUAAUAAAAAUCUGGUCUGAAGAAUGCACUUAGACAUGCAGCCAAAGUCACCUUCCUAACACUUGGCUAUGACGGCCACACUUACUCUUCCUGGCGUGAGCACGUGUGACAACGCACAACUCCCUCCUGAUCAGGACGUUUGCAACACGAUAGAUAGACCUGAAGGCAGGGCCCUUGGAUAGAUGGCUCCAGAAGGAGAGAGAAAGAGGACAAGGCUGAAGUAAGCUUUCUCAGUGACUUCUCCCACAUCCACCAAUGAGAUCACCACCAGAUUCUUCUCCAACAGGGAGGGGUAAGUCGGAUGGAAAGGAAGACCGAAGGGUUUCUCUAUAGCUGAAGCCUACACACCUGGAAACAGGAGGAACGAAGGAUGUACCUCCCCCACCAAGAACACACUUUACUCAUCACCCGUGUGUGAUCUGUUAUGUUAAUAGCAGUUAUGCCAUGUGUUUCAAAAUGUGUGUGUUGGCGGGAAGAGGGGAAUGGGGAUUAUUAAAUUUCAAAAUUUCCGCCUCCAUUUUUCAGAUAAUUACACAGGAAGUUGCAAAUCAGAGACUCAUCUAUUAUUGGCGCGCACGCUGCUGUGAAUUGCCGUUGGUGCGUUGAGGGCCCAGCCUCAGGGAGGAGAGAGGAAACGCGGCGGCGCUGGCCCUGACGAGCAGAGGCCCGCACGUUGGUGGGCCCUCCGCCUCUGCGGAAGGCGGCUCCGCUGCCACGCGCUGGGCAGGCAGCAGGCGGGGGGCGUCUGCUCCGUCCGUCGUCUCCCUCGAGCUUGGGAGGCAUUGGACCAGGCGCCAGGGUGGGGCAUCUAAAGACAGCAGAUCCCGUUCUCUGCCCUCAGGAGCUGGGAAUUUGACGGAGAGGGAGACCUCGCUCCGCAGACUGGGUUUCCCCCCUACAGUCAGAAGUGUUCAUCUCAGUUGAGAAACAUGGAACAGAAAAGCAGAAAAAAAAAGACCUUUUAAGUUCUCCAAACUUAAUCUUUGAAUUGGAAAAGUUUAGGUCUAAAAGGACUCAGGAAAUAUAAAAUCCACGGUGCGAUAAAGAAAGUCUUCCUCUUCGUCUACACUGAAAAGCAUUCCCCAGGACAAAGGGGAAAGAAGAGAGAGCCAGGGAGAACAGAUCAUUUUCUGCUGACAGAUCCCAUGGGAAGGGUUCUGCCGUGUUCCAGGAGGAGGAGAGAGGUAUCAGGAAUCUUCAGAUAAGCUGGAGUAUCUGAGGGCAGAGAGUCCUAUGUGAUCACCUUCUGCAAGCCCUCCCAGGUGGAGCCUGGGAGCAUGGAAGUCCUGUGGAGGGAGCCUGGGCAGAUUUUUGAGUUAGCCUCACAGUUUUCUAAGGCUCAGAGAUGAUGCAAGCAGUAGAGCAUUUCUCAUGUGGCAAAGAUUCAGUGACCCGAGUAAAUCAGUGAUGAGGAAAAAGAUGAGAGUGAGUAUUCCUUAACAGAUGAGACGUCAGUAUGAGUGAUGUCACCAGCGAUCAGCUAUGUCGCCCCUCCAAUCCACACUGUGAUACUAUGGACUCAAAUUUAGGUGUAACUCCAAGGAAGAGUGAUGAAUUCUGAGAUUAAGUCCCCAGAAUUUGGUGGAAUGGAACUCAAAAGAAAAACUAAACUCAGUUAUAGGAAAAAUAAUGUAAUUUAUUCAUUUAUUUCACACUAUGAUCUGUGGAGUGAAAUUUGUAUAUAUUCGCAUCCUCCACUGCCCCAUCCCCAAAUCCUACCUCUUAGUACAAUGGGCAUCCUGGCCUCUCCACGCCCUCCCCUUGCUCCAGAUCCUCUGGCCUGAGCAUUUUCUGAGUCCGCAGGUUCUUGUAUUGGAAGACGAGUGCAGACUGACCCAUUAGCCUGAGAUGGCAGGCUGCUUGCCCAUCCCAUGAUUUUUGUGGUCAGUUUAAAAUAAACUGGCACUUAAUAUACGGAAAAGAAAAAAAGUUCAGAGGAAGAGAAUAGUCACUAGGUUACUUCCAGUGUUGUGCUAGUGUUCAACACCACUAGUUAUUUAACAAAUAGCUCCCCAUAAAAACCAAAAGACCGGCCAGCCAGGUGGUGUAUAUAGUGGUUAGGUUCAAAAGCUCUGCUUUGGCAGCUUGGGGUUUGCAGUUUGGAUCCAGGUGUGGAACUAGCACCGCUUAUCUGGCCACAGGGUGUCCCACAUAGAAUAGAAGAAGAUUGGCACAGAUGUUAGCUCAGUGUAAUCUUCCUCAAGCAAAAAGAGGAGUAUUGGCAACAGAUGUUAGCUCAGGGCCAAUCUUCCUCAUGCACACACAAAAAAGACCAAAAUUUUAGCAUAUGCCAAUAUCCAUGGGAUGCUUUCAAGCUACCAGCUUAGGAUUUAAGUAGUAGAUGUAGAUCCAGAUGUAGGUGGAUGCACACGUGGAUGGUUGAAAGGAUGGGUGGUUGAUAGGUGAAUGAGUAAAUGCAUGAGUGGAUACACAGAUGUAGAGAUGGGUACCUAAAUGGAUGGACGAGUGGGAAGGUGGAUGGAUCAAGGUAUGGAGGGAAAGAUAGGUAGAUGGGUGGAUGGUUGGGCAGUUGGAUAAUUGACAUAAGAAUCCCUAGACUCUGUUCUUAAAGAACAAGCGACCUGGCUAAUUUUAAGCUACCAACUGUCACUGAAUGUGACAAUAGGAAGGAGAUGCACAAAAUCAUCUCUUACAAGUUGAUACCUGCCAGUUCCAGCCAAUCACUAACUAUUGUCCAUAUGUACAUGAAAAGGAUAGCUUCCUUUCUCAAUGAUUGACAGGUCCAAAUGUAGAGCUCUGCUAGUUUCACCGAGGGAUGUAGACCAUUUCUGAAGCAAAGGAAGAGUCCAAUCUAGAGAGUUAUUUUUUAUAGGAACAAUAUCCUUGCAAGUAGGUGCGUUUCAGGCACAGUCUUUCUCAUCUGGAGGAUGACUAUGAAUUUUAUUUUCCUUCGUCCUUGUUCAGAAACCGCAUUCAGUAACAACUUUAUUUUGGCAGAUUUCAGGGAGAAAGUGUAAAGAAGAUUGACUCUGACAGGGUCUGUCCUCAGAGUCGACAUAACUGGAACAUGCACAGAAAUCACAAGGUCACAAAAUUAGAAAACCAGAAGAAUCAGAAGACAAAUCCAUAUUCUUGGAUCCAAAGUUUAAAUCUCUGCUGACUACUGGGGGCUGGCCCAGUGGUGUAGUGGUUAAGUUCAUGCAGUCUGCUUGGGAAGCCUGGAGUUUGCAGGUUCGAAUCCCAGGGUGCAGAGUGACGCGGAGGAAAUGAACACCUGGUGCCUAGAAGCAACAUCUAACCCGGAUCUCAGGCAUGGCUUUUACGGUGGUUCUUGGGGAGGUGCAACAUCUUCUGUGAGUUUUGAAAAAAGGUAAAUGCUUGGGAGUUCAGGAGGUAGAAAAGGAAGUGGAGACGUUUCAGGCAGAGCAAAAAUAAUCAUGAAAUCAUGAAGACAUGAAGAAGCCGAGAGCGGAGUUGGGAAGCAGGAAGGAGUUCCCUGUGGCUGGGGGACAGGGUACCUGAAUGGUGUAAAUGGUUGGGGAUAGCUGCCAGGUGGGGACACAGAGGGUGUUGCAUGUUGUUCUACAAAGCUUGAUAUUAUCCCUUAAGAAGCACAGAGCCCGCUGAGGUCUUCAAGCAGAGGAGGGAUAUAAUCAAAUAAAUUUUUUAGGAGUCUGGUGUGGAGAAUGAGCUCAAACAGAAAAAGACUGAUGUUAGGGUUUUCAGUUAGGAAUCCAGGUAAUAGUCCAAAUAGGAGAUGGUGAGGUCCUGGAUGAAGAGCACAGGAGAAAGGGAGAGAAAGAGUCCAUCAGAAGGACUGGUCUAGAAUCCGUGGAGCUUCCUGAGCAGGUGGGUGGCUGGUCGGGAUCCAGAAAGGUCACAGAGGGCUCCCGCCAGUUCUGGGUGGCGGGAUGCAUAGUGCCACCACGAAACAAGGUGUUAUCUCUAUACUGUGCUGGUUUCAGGACCCAGAAACCGAGAAGACAGGAUCGAUUAUUUUCAUCAUGUAACUACUCAUCAAGAAUAUUAUGCAAUUCGUUUGCUAAAGUUUCCUUGUUUUCUUUGACUUCAUAUAAAGAGGAUCCAAGCAUUUAAAUCCGGACUUUAAUCACCAUGAACUGGGUUUGAGUCAAAGAUUCCACGUAGACAUGUUCUGAGAUUAAGAUGAUUUAUACUAUUGCACUGUGCCUAGGAAGAAGGACC